Molecule: ribosomal RNA, 465 nt
Filed under: Vreelandella stevensii
Lineage: Bacteria; Pseudomonadati; Pseudomonadota; Gammaproteobacteria; Oceanospirillales; Halomonadaceae
Description: partial 16S ribosomal RNA
Rfam family: Bacterial small subunit ribosomal RNA
Source: RNAcentral
CCUACGGGCGGCAGCAGUGGGGAAUAUUGGACAAUGGGCGAAAGCCUGAUCCAGCCAUGCCGCGUGUGUGAAGAAGGCCUUCGGGUUGUAAAGCACUUUCAGUGGGGAAGAAAGCCUUGGGGCUAAUACCCUCGAGGAAGGACAUCACCCACAGAAGAAGCACCGGCUAACUCCGUGCCAGCAGCCGCGGUAAUACGGAGGGUGCGAGCGUUAAUCGGAAUUACUGGGCGUAAAGCGCGCGUAGGCGGUCUGAUAAGCCGGUUGUGAAAGCCCCGGGCUCAACCUGGGAACGGCAUCCGGAACUGUCAGGCUAGAGUGCAGGAGAGGAAGGUAGAAUUCCCGGUGUAGCGGUGAAAUGCAUAGAGAUCGGGAGGAAUACCAGUGGCGAAGGCGGCCUUCUGGACUGACACUGACGCUGAGGUGCGAAAGCGUGGGUAGCAAACAGGAUUAGAUACCCUUGUAGUC